This 489-nucleotide long non-coding RNA is filed under the name Prunus persica (peach). RNAcentral describes it as "long non-coding RNA (PPER_LNC001806)". Lineage: Eukaryota; Viridiplantae; Streptophyta; Magnoliopsida; Rosales; Rosaceae. The record is from RNAcentral.
UCCAAUCCAAGUACUUAUUUAUUUGGAGAAACUUUCAUUAGAAGCAGGGCACAAUCAAUAAACUAUUAUAUUAUUUUGAAUCUUAACAGGGUUACUAAGUGACAACUUACUAAAUGUUAGGUUAAAUAAUGCAUUAGAAUUUCGUCCACUUAUGAUCUAACAACUGGAUUAAUAAUAUCACGUGACGAUGUUGCAAUUACAAACAUAAAUUUCUUUAACUUUUUCUCCCAAGUAGCAUUUUCACAUUACGAAGGGUUAUCUUUUUAUGCUAACAAUGUCGGGUGGUACUUGUCACCUAAGUUGGGAUAGAGAAUUGAAUUUAGUUAAUUUAAUUUACCGAAUUCAUUUUAAAAAAAUUAAACCCAUUGCCAAAUUUACAUAACUCUUCCAAACUAAUCAUAAUGUCUCCACAAGAAGGUAGCAAAACAUGCAUGGUACCAAAACCCAGUCUCAAAAUUUAAAAAAGGUUCGAUGGGAUUACCAAAACCC